RNAcentral lists this ribosomal RNA (482 nucleotides) under uncultured bacterium. RNAcentral's name for it is "partial 16S ribosomal RNA". It matches the Rfam family "Bacterial small subunit ribosomal RNA", at positions 30 to 507 of the family's 1533-position model. The record is from RNAcentral.
AUUGAACGCUGGCGGCAUGCCUUACACAUGCAAGUCGAACGGUAACAGGUCUUCGGAUGCUGACGAGUGGCGAACGGGUGAGUAAUACAUCGGAACGUGCCCGAUCGUGGGGGAUAACGAAGCGAAAGCUUUGCUAAUACCGCAUACGAUCUACGGAUGAAAGCAGGGGACCGCAAGGCCUUGCGCGAACGGAGCGGCCGAUGGCAGAUUAGGUAGUUGGUGGGAUAAAAGCUUACCAAACCGACGAUCUGUAGCUGGUCUGAGAGGACGACCAGCCACACUGGGACUGAGACACGGCCCAGACUCCUACGGGAGGCAGCAGUGGGGAAUUUUGGACAAUGGGCGAAAGCCUGAUCCAGUCAUGCCGCGUGCAGGAUGAAGGCCUUCGGGUUGUAAACUGCUUUUGAACGGAACGAAAAGACUCUGGUUAAUACCUGGGGUCCAUGACGGUACCGUAAGAAUAAGCACCGGCUAACUACGUG